This 118-nucleotide ribosomal RNA is filed under the name Pogona vitticeps (central bearded dragon). The record is from RNAcentral. Lineage: Eukaryota; Metazoa; Chordata; Lepidosauria; Squamata; Agamidae.
GUGUAUGACCAUAUCGCCCUGAACAUGCCUAACCUCAUCUGAUCUUGGAAGCAAAGUAGAGUCAGUUCUGGGGAGUUCUUGGAUGGGACACGACUAGGAAAUACCAAGGAUCUCCAGG